GGUGGCUCAGUGGUAGAGUGCUUGCCUUGCAUGCAUGAAGCCCUGGGUUCGAUUCCCCAGCACCA
Dipodomys ordii (Ord's kangaroo rat) is the source of this 65-nucleotide non-coding RNA. Lineage: Eukaryota; Metazoa; Chordata; Mammalia; Rodentia; Heteromyidae. The record is from Rfam.